UGCGUAGGCGGUUAGAUAAGUCAGAGGUGAAAGCUCACAGCUUAACUGUGGAAUUGCCUUUGAUACUGUUUAACUUGAAUCAGGUUGAGGUUGGCGGAAUGUGACAUGUAGCGGUGAAAUGCAUAGAUAUGUCAUAGAACACCAAUUGCGAAGGCAGCUAGCUGGACCUGUAUUGACGCUGAGGCACGAAAGCGUGGGGAGCGAACAGGAUUAGAUACCCUGGUAGUCC
RNAcentral lists this ribosomal RNA (229 nucleotides) under uncultured bacterium. Its description in RNAcentral is "partial 16S ribosomal RNA". It matches the Rfam family "Bacterial small subunit ribosomal RNA", at positions 568 to 796 of the family's 1533-position model. The record is from RNAcentral.